Molecule: microRNA precursor, 106 nt
Filed under: Canis lupus familiaris (dog)
Lineage: Eukaryota; Metazoa; Chordata; Mammalia; Carnivora; Canidae
Also listed under: 1 other name
Description: mir-8834 microRNA precursor family
Rfam family: mir-8834 microRNA precursor family
Source: Rfam by way of RNAcentral
UGGAGGAACAACCGCAGUGGCAGCGGCCAGCUCUGGAGCCCUGGAGUCAGCUCCCGCAGUAACUACCGAGCUCUCUGUCUGCAGGGCCUGGAGGCUCCAGGGCGGG